Molecule: long non-coding RNA, 625 nt
Organism: Dioscorea cayenensis subsp. rotundata (Guinea yam)
Lineage: Eukaryota; Viridiplantae; Streptophyta; Magnoliopsida; Dioscoreales; Dioscoreaceae
Exons: 4
Source: RefSeq, a predicted model, not a curated record
UUCAUUUUAAUGGCUGGCUUUCUCUUCUUCUUGCCAAAUUUUGUUUGGUUUGAAGUUUAGAAGGUAAUUAUCCAUUCCUUUCAUUUGUUUGGAUAAGUUGAUUAGGUGGUGAGGGUUUGGCUUGAGGCAAGGAAUAGGUGCAGAAGUAACACUCUUGCGGGCUAUACUCGCUUAAGUUGUAGGCGGUCUUUACGGCCAGUCUUUUGAGAUGGCGUGGUAGACCGGCUGAUUGCUACGUGGGGCAGUUCAGGUGGGAGUGUAGAAUCAUGACUGGACAUUCAUCUGGUAGUCAUUGUCACCAUGUGGUGAACCGAUGGGUCAACAUCAAGGGCAUGAGUACUUUGACAACUCUAAACCUAGUUGCAGCAGCGGUGAAGGUUUGGAGAGGUUUCUAGACCACUUUAUGCUAGCCUUUUGCAGGUAGUUGGUGCGGCGGUGUGGCAGUGUGCUGAGCAUUUGCUACUGUUCUCUCAGUUCAUUUUGUUCAUGUGACUUGGGAUCCACUAGUAUGUAGAAAAGUUUGUUGUUGGCUUGUAGUAUGCAACUCUUAAACCCUUGGUGUAUCAGCUGUGUGUUGUUGUUGUUGUUGUUUCCCUAUGCUGAACCCCUCUAAUUCUGUUUAUUA